RNAcentral lists this ribosomal RNA (2393 nucleotides) under Staphylococcus aureus VET0050R. RNAcentral describes it as "bacterial LSU rRNA". It matches the Rfam family "Bacterial large subunit ribosomal RNA", at positions 3 to 2393 of the family's 2925-position model. The record is from RNAcentral. Lineage: Bacteria; Bacillati; Bacillota; Bacilli; Caryophanales; Staphylococcaceae.
UUAAGUUAUUAAGGGCGCACGGUGGAUGCCUUGGCACUAGAAGCCGAUGAAGGACGUUACUAACGACGAUAUGCUUUGGGGAGCUGUAAGUAAGCUUUGAUCCAGAGAUUUCCGAAUGGGGAAACCCAGCAUGAGUUAUGUCAUGUUAUCGAUAUGUGAAUACAUAGCAUAUCAGAAGGCACACCCGGAGAACUGAAACAUCUUAGUACCCGGAGGAAGAGAAAGAAAAUUCGAUUCCCUUAGUAGCGGCGAGCGAAACGGGAAGAGCCCAAACCAACAAGCUUGCUUGUUGGGGUUGUAGGACACUCUAUACGGAGUUACAAAGGACGACAUUAGACGAAUCAUCUGGAAAGAUGAAUCAAAGAAGGUAAUAAUCCUGUAGUCGAAAAUGUUGUCUCUCUUGAGUGGAUCCUGAGUACGACGGAGCACGUGAAAUUCCGUCGGAAUCUGGGAGGACCAUCUCCUAAGGCUAAAUACUCUCUAGUGACCGAUAGUGAACCAGUACCGUGAGGGAAAGGUGAAAAGCACCCCGGAAGGGGAGUGAAACAGAACCUGAAACCGUGUGCUUACAAGUAGUCAGAGCCUGUUAAUGGGUGAUGGCGUGCCUUUUGUAGAAUGAACCGGCGAGUUACGAUUUGAUGCAAGGUUAAGCAGUAAAUGUGGAGCCGUAGCGAAAGCGAGUCUGAAUAGGGCGUUUAGUAUUUGGUCGUAGACCCGAAACCAGGUGAUCUACCCUUGGUCAGGUUGAAGUUCAGGUAACACUGAAUGGAGGACCGAACCGACUUACGUUGAAAAGUGAGCGGAUGAACUGAGGGUAGCGGAGAAAUUCCAAUCGAACCUGGAGAUAGCUGGUUCUCUCCGAAAUAGCUUUAGGGCUAGCCUCAAGUGAUGAUUAUUGGAGGUAGAGCACUGUUUGGACGAGGGGCCCCUCUCGGGUUACCGAAUUCAGACAAACUCCGAAUGCCAAUUAAUUUAACUUGGGAGUCAGAACAUGGGUGAUAAGGUCCGUGUUCGAAAGGGAAACAGCCCAGACCACCAGCUAAGGUCCCAAAAUAUAUGUUAAGUGGAAAAGGAUGUGGCGUUGCCCAGACAACUAGGAUGUUGGCUUAGAAGCAGCCAUCAUUUAAAGAGUGCGUAAUAGCUCACUAGUCGAGUGACACUGCGCCGAAAAUGUACCGGGGCUAAACAUAUUACCGAAGCUGUGGAUUGUCCUUUGGACAAUGGUAGGAGAGCGUUCUAAGGGCGUUGAAGCAUGAUCGUAAGGACAUGUGGAGCGCUUAGAAGUGAGAAUGCCGGUGUGAGUAGCGAAAGACGGGUGAGAAUCCCGUCCACCGAUUGACUAAGGUUUCCAGAGGAAGGCUCGUCCGCUCUGGGUUAGUCGGGUCCUAAGCUGAGGCCGACAGGCGUAGGCGAUGGAUAACAGGUUGAUAUUCCUGUACCACCUAUAAUCGUUUUAAUCGAUGGGGGGGACGCAGUAGGAUAGGCGAAGCGUGCGAUUGGAUUGCACGUCUAAGCAGUAAGGCUGAGUAUUAGGCAAAUCCGGUACUCAUUAAGGCUGAGCUGUGAUGGGGAGAAGACAUUGUGUCUUCGAGUCGUUGAUUUCACACUGCCGAGAAAAGCCUCUAGAUAGAAAAUAGGUGCCCGUACCGCAAACCGACACAGGUAGUCAAGAUGAGAAUUCUAAGGUGAGCGAGCGAACUCUCGUUAAGGAACUCGGCAAAAUGACCCCGUAACUUCGGGAGAAGGGGUGCUCUUUAGGGUUAACGCCCAGAAGAGCCGCAGUGAAUAGGCCCAAGCGACUGUUUAUCAAAAACACAGGUCUCUGCUAAACCGUAAGGUGAUGUAUAGGGGCUGACGCCUGCCCGGUGCUGGAAGGUUAAGAGGAGUGGUUAGCUUCUGCGAAGCUACGAAUCGAAGCCCCAGUAAACGGCGGCCGUAACUAUAACGGUCCUAAGGUAGCGAAAUUCCUUGUCGGGUAAGUUCCGACCCGCACGAAAGGCGUAACGAUUUGGGCACUGUCUCAACGAGAGACUCGGUGAAAUCAUAGUACCUGUGAAGAUGCAGGUUACCCGCGACAGGACGGAAAGACCCCGUGGAGCUUUACUGUAGCCUGAUAUUGAAAUUCGGCACAGCUUGUACAGGAUAGGUAGGAGCCUUUGAAACGUGAGCGCUAGCUUACGUGGAGGCGCUGGUGGGAUACUACCCUAGCUGUGUUGGCUUUCUAACCCGCACCACUUAUCGUGGUGGGAGACAGUGUCAGGCGGGCAGUUUGACUGGGGCGGUCGCCUCCUAAAAGGUAACGGAGGCGCUCAAAGGUUCCCUCAGAAUGGUUGGAAAUCAUUCAUAGAGUGUAAAGGCAUAAGGGAGCUUGACUGCGAGACCUACAAGUCGAG